UACUCAAGACAGAGAUAGCGACACGAAC
RNAcentral lists this non-coding RNA (28 nucleotides) under Bombyx mori (domestic silkworm). The record is from RNAcentral. Lineage: Eukaryota; Metazoa; Arthropoda; Insecta; Lepidoptera; Bombycidae.